GGUAGUUGGUGUGGUAACGGCGCACCAAGCCGACGAUCCGUAGCUGGUCUGAGAGGAUGAUCAGCCACACUGGGACUGAGACACGGCCCAGACUCCUACGGGAGGCAGCAGUGGGGAAUAUUGGACAAUGGGCGCAAGCCUGAUCCAGCAAUGCCGCGUGAGUGAUGAAGACCUUAGGGUUGUAAAGCUCUUUCGCACGCGACGAUGAUGACGGUAGCGUGAGAAGAAGCCCCGGCUAACUUCGUGCCAGCAGCCGCGGU
Molecule: ribosomal RNA, 260 nt
Filed under: Staphylococcus aureus
Lineage: Bacteria; Bacillati; Bacillota; Bacilli; Caryophanales; Staphylococcaceae
Description: partial 16S ribosomal RNA
Rfam family: Bacterial small subunit ribosomal RNA
Source: RNAcentral